AUAGGACUGACCCACGAAGACCCUGCUCGCUUUCUGGCGUCGGUCUCUCUAGGAUCCAUCAGAAAUGACGAGCUGGAAGAUGCUCCGAUUAAUUGCUUUCCGGCUCUGAGAUGGCACCUCCAUCGCCAGUCAAAGUUUUAAUUAAUCAUGCCAGCAGAUGGGCUGUCACGGCCGGAGCGGCCAGGGGACUUACAGGAUUCCUCUGACAGGACUGGGGCAGACAGAAUGCAGAAGCAUGGCGACUCAAGUAGAGAGGCCAAGGAAUGGUCACAGGGUGUCACAGUCAGAAGGGACGUUCGUGUGGGGAGAAGACCUUUGAUCAGCAGCCCCUUCCUUCUCCUGCGGUGGCCUGAACUCGGAGGGUAUAACUGGGAUGGAGCCAGGCCACCGCCUUACGUGUGUGCACACAUGGGAGCAGCCUGGGCCUCCUCGCUGUGGAAUGGCCGGGGUGUCUGCUGUGAUGGGGCACACAUCUCCUUCUUGGUUGAGCAGUAAACAAGGACUGUUCGGUUGGGCCUGUUUCCUUGGAGCAUAUCUUCAUGAAUAUUUGCUGGUGCAGGGAAGUGAUGAAGUACCCAUAGUCCGCACUAUGAAAUCAGAAAGUCUCUGAAGGAAGAAAUUGGCACUCUGCGGCCAUAGUCCUAAGAGAGAAGACAGGAACCAUUUUCCUAUGCCUCCUGUGUGCUGGUCAGAUUAAACGGCACAGAGGGGUGAGCUGCUGAACGCUUGGUUGUAAUUUUGCAAGACUGAUGGCAAUCACUUAUCCUACACCAGCCGUGCCAGUGUGGCUGCUAGAAAGUUUAAAAUUACACGUGUCUCGCAUUAACUGCCUUUUGGACAGCGUUGGUCUGGAACCUGGAAUAACGUCCGACACAGAGUCGCCCCUCAAGAAAUGUCAUUCCCCAGAUGCUUAGAGGCCCAAAAGGGGGAACAAGCCUUUGUCCUCACUCUGGAGAAUCUGAGAGUUUCAUGAAGAAGAGAACAGAAACACCUCAUGUUCAAGGGAACUCGGACCGAGACAAGUCAACAACUAGCCACAACCGGAUAGGGCAUAGACGUAAGUAACAGAGACAGCUGGAAACAAUGGUACUAGCAGAAAGUAGAACUGAAUUUUAAAGGUGGAAGGGGGUGUCAUUUGACUGGAAAGGAAGGAUGGGGCCUUUGAUUCAGCGAUGGAGGCCUUGAGCCCUCGAGGCAUGGAGUGAGCAGGUGGGUAAGCUGAUUGUCCUUGCUGGUGACCAAAUGGAGCAGGUG
This 1254-nucleotide long non-coding RNA is filed under the name Equus caballus (horse). RNAcentral's name for it is "lncRNA (ENSECAG00000053316.1)". The record is from RNAcentral. Lineage: Eukaryota; Metazoa; Chordata; Mammalia; Perissodactyla; Equidae.